UAUUUUCAUGGUGUAAAACACACUGUCCUUUCAAGACAGAGCUGACCCAGGUCUAAAAAUAA
RNAcentral lists this transfer RNA (62 nucleotides) under Epimeria frankei. Its description in RNAcentral is "tRNA-Glu". Lineage: Eukaryota; Metazoa; Arthropoda; Malacostraca; Amphipoda; Epimeriidae. The record is from RNAcentral.